This 73-nucleotide transfer RNA is filed under the name Camelus bactrianus (Bactrian camel). It matches the Rfam family "tRNA". Rfam says of the family: Transfer RNA (tRNA) molecules are approximately 80 nucleotides in length. Their secondary structure includes four short double-helical elements and three loops (D, anti-codon, and T loops). Further hydrogen bonds mediate the characteristic L-shaped molecular structure. tRNAs have two regions of fundamental functional importance: the anti-codon, which is responsible for specific mRNA codon recognition, and the 3' end, to which the tRNAs corresponding amino acid is attached (by aminoacyl-tRNA synthetases). tRNAs cope with the degeneracy of the genetic code in two manners: having more than one tRNA (with a specific anti-codon) for a particular amino acid; and 'wobble' base-pairing, i.e. permitting non-standard base-pairing at the 3rd anti-codon position. RNAcentral also lists the same sequence under 2 other names. The record is from Rfam by way of RNAcentral. Lineage: Eukaryota; Metazoa; Chordata; Mammalia; Artiodactyla; Camelidae.
GAGGGUAUAGCUCAAGUGGUAGAGCACAUGCUUAGCAUGCACGAGGUCCCGGGUUCAAUCCCCAGUGCCUCCA